Molecule: ribosomal RNA, 693 nt
Filed under: Escherichia coli
Lineage: Bacteria; Pseudomonadati; Pseudomonadota; Gammaproteobacteria; Enterobacterales; Enterobacteriaceae
Description: partial 23S ribosomal RNA
Rfam family: Bacterial large subunit ribosomal RNA
Source: RNAcentral
GAAGGUGUACUGUGAGGUAUGCUGGAGGUAUCAGAAGUGCGAAUGCUGACAUAAGUAACGAUAAAGCGGGUGAAAAGCCCGCUCGCCGGAAGACCAAGGGUUCCUGUCCAACGUUAAUCGGGGCAGGGUGAGUCGACCCCUAAGGCGAGGCCGAAAGGCGUAGUCGAUGGGAAACAGGUUAAUAUUCCUGUACUUGGUGUUACUGCGAAGGGGGGACGGAGAAGGCUAUGUUGGCCGGGCGACGGUUGUCCCGGUUUAAGCGUGUAGGCUGGUUUUCCAGGCAAAUCCGGAAAAUCAAGGCUGAGGCGUGAUGACGAGGCACUACGGUGCUGAAGCAACAAAUGCCCUGCUUCCAGGAAAAGCCUCUAAGCAUCAGGUAACAUCAAAUCGUACCCCAAACCGACACAGGUGGUCAGGUAGAGAAUACCAAGGCGCUUGAGAGAACUCGGGUGAAGGAACUAGGCAAAAUGGUGCCGUAACUUCGGGAGAAGGCACGCUGAUAUGUAGGUGAAGUCCCUCGCGGAUGGAGCUGAAAUCAGUCGAAGAUACCAGCUGGCUGCAACUGUUUAUUAAAAACACAGCACUGUGCAAACACGAAAGUGGACGUAUACGGUGUGACGCCUGCCCGGUGCCGGAAGGUUAAUUGAUGGGGUUAGCGGUAACGCGAAGCUCUUGAUCGAAGCCCCGGUAAAC